This 1915-nucleotide ribosomal RNA is filed under the name human gut metagenome. RNAcentral describes it as "bacterial LSU rRNA". It matches the Rfam family "Bacterial large subunit ribosomal RNA", at positions 496 to 2393 of the family's 2925-position model. The record is from RNAcentral.
UAGUACCAUGAGGGAAAGGUGAAAAGAACCCCGGGAGGGGAAUGAAACAGAACCUGAAACCGUAUGUUUACAAGCAGUCGGAGCACCGUAUAUAUAUCAGGUGCGACGGCGUGCCUAUUGAAGAAUGAACCGGCGAGUUACUUCGUCCAGCGAGGUUAAGCAGGAAAUGCGGAGCCGCAGCGAAAGCGAGUCUGAAGAGGGCGAUGAGUUGGAGGGAGUAGACCCGAAACCACAGUGAUCUACCCAUGUCCAGGUUGAAGCACAGGUAAAAAUGUGUGGAGGACCGAACCUAUAUCCGUUGAAAAGGGUUAGGAUGAGGUGUGGGUAGGGGUGAAAUUCCAAUCGAACGUGGAGAUAGCUGGUUCUCCCCGAAAUAGCUUUAGGGCUAGCCUCAUGGAGAGAGUACAGGCGGUAGAGCACUGAACAGGGUAGGGGCCUAUCCGGCUACUGAACCUAAUCAAACUGCGAAUGGCUGUACUUAUACAUGGGAGUCAGACUGCGAGUAAUAAGACCCGUAGUCAAGAGGGAAACAGCCCAGACCAACAGCUAAGGUCCCCAAUGCCGUACUAAGUGGUGAAGGAUGUGGAAUUUCGAAAACAACCAGGAUGUUGGCUCAGAAGCAGCCACCAUUAAAAGAGUGCGUAAUAGCUCACUGGUCGAGAGACUCUGCGCCGAAGAUGACCGGGGCUGAAGUACGGAACCGAAGCUUUGGCAUGUAUGUAGAUACAUGGGUAGGGGAGCGUUCCUGCAUGGGAGAAGCGGUACCGGAAGGAGCCGUGGACAGGCAGGAAGAGAGAAUGCCGGUAUGAGUAGCGAAAAGAAAGGUGAGAAUCCUUUCCACCGAAAGCCUAAGGGUUCCUGGGCAACGCUCGUCGACCCAGGGUAAGUCGGGACCUAAUCCGAGGCGGAGACGCGUAGGAGAUGGACAACAGGUUGAGAUUCCUGUACUGCAGCCGUUUGUUUGAGCGACGGAGUGACGCAAGAAGGAAAGCGCGCGUGCGACUGGAAGAGCACGUCCAAGCAGGUAGGUCGGGAGACAGGCAAAUCCGUCUCCCAUAAGGCCGAGAUGUGAUGGGGAGCUUCUGGAGACAGAAGCGAAGGGGCCGGCACUAUAUUGCCAAGAAAAGCUUCUAGUGAGAACGGCAGCACCCGUACCGAAACCGACACAGGUAGGCAGGAAGAGAAUUCUAAGGUGCGCGGGACAACCCUCGUUAAGGAACUCGGCAAAAUAUAUCCGUAACUUCGGGAAAAGGAUAGCCUGUAGUCAGUGAAGUGCAGAAGCGCACGGAGCUAAGGCAGGCGGCAGAAGAGAGGCCCAAGCGACUGUUUACCACAAACACAGGCGUCUGCUAAAGGGAAACCUGACGUAUAGAUGCUGACACCUGCCCGGUGCUGGAAGGUUAAGAGGACUUGUUAGCGCAAGCGAAGCAGAGAAUUGAAGCCCCAGUAAACGGCGGCCGUAACUAUAACGGUCCUAAGGUAGCGAAAUUCCUUGUCGGGUAAGUUCCGACCCGCACGAAAGGUGUAACGAUUUGGGCACUGUCUCAACGAGGGACCCGGUGAAAUUGAAAUACCUGUGAAGAUGCAGGUUACCCGCGACUGGACAGAAAGACCCCAUGGAGCUUUACUGUAACCUGAGAUUGAAUUCUGGUAGGAGAUGUACAGGAUAGUUGGGAGGCGGAGAAGCGAGUACGCCAGUAUUCGCGGAGCCGAUGGUGGGAUACCAACCUUGUUUUAUUGGAAUUCUAACGAGAAGCGUAACGAGCUUGCGGACAGUCUCAGGCGGGCAGUUUGACUGGGGCGGUCGCCUCCGAAAGAGCAACGGAGGCGCCCAAAGGUUCCCUCAGUGCGGACGGAAACCGCACGAAGAGUGCAAAGGCAGAAGGGAGCUUGACUGCGAGACGGACAGGUCGAG